This is a long non-coding RNA of Heteronotia binoei (common prickly gecko), 1086 nucleotides long. RefSeq lists it as uncharacterized. NCBI's taxonomy places the organism in Eukaryota, Metazoa, Chordata, Lepidosauria, Squamata, Gekkonidae. The record is from RefSeq and is a predicted model, not a curated record. The transcript has 3 exons.
GCCAGAACUAGUCACUCCCCCCAGGCGCUAUUUGCAUGUCUCUCUGCCUGGCUCACCUGGCUCAGGUGGUGGCGACGACUCCGACUCCUCCUCUUUGCGCAUGCCUCCACGGGGAGAACUGGGAGGGAGGCGUGGCCGCUCCUUUCCCGGGGGCCACGAGUUCCAGGCAUUUCGUGGCGGGGUCCAAGGGUUUUGGAGAAAGGUUGUGCAGGCUUCAACCAGGCAGACCUUGGAAAUCAGAUUCAUUUUUACAUCAGAGGAACUGAGGUUGAAGUCAAUGGCUUGCGGAAAUCUGUCAAGCCCGUGGCUUGAAAGGGAUUUUACUCCAGAACAUUUGGAUCGAAGCCCAGCUCAUCAUCUGCGGUGUCACCGUGACAUGAUGUUUCUUUGUUCCCAUCAUAAAGCAUUAUGAAACCAGAUGGAAAACCGUGGAGGAUAUCAGCUUCUGUCACAUCAAACAAUCAUAUGCAUAGAACUUGCAAAGCUGACCUUUUGCUGCCUGUUUCCUGUAUGGUAUGAGGGCAAGCUAUUUUCCCAUCAAAGGAAGCAUCCAAGGGAAGGAGAAAGUGACAAAUCCAGUUCUCUAAGCGCAGCUCCCCUCCCCACAAGGGACCUGGUACUGAAGGCUGCCACCUCCUUAUCUCCAUUCUCAAUCUCUGCCAAGAAUAACAUUUUCUCAGUGGCCACUGAAACCGGUUUUCCAAGCCUCAUUGCACAAGCACUUCAGGUCAGAUGGAUUAUUGACUGAAGAACGUAUCUCUUGGAGGAAGAAUAACUUUGGGUAAUGAUUAAAAUGACGUUUGCUUCUAGGUUGCUUUGCUUACUGAAGUCCUAUAUAAACCUACCUUAAGUAAACACAGGGCCAUAUAAACAGCUGAAACCUCAGCAUUUCCGUACUUUGCAAGAAACCUAAAAUAAAUAAUAUACUGUAGAUUUGUAUCAGCCGGUUCAGCAGAGAUACCAUAUGCUGUGGAUUUUUGUUCUCGACAGGACGGUAGCAUUACUUUUAAAAGAAAUAUUUCAAAUCAAGCGAUUUUCAGAAUUACGAAAGCUUAUAUUCUGAAUAAAACUUAAGUUGGUCUUAAA